Molecule: ribosomal RNA, 1283 nt
Filed under: metagenome
Description: bacterial SSU rRNA
Rfam family: Bacterial small subunit ribosomal RNA
Source: RNAcentral
AGAGUUUGAUCCUGGCUCAGGACGAACGCUGGCGGCGUGCCUAAUACAUGCAAGUCGAACGAAGCUUUCUUUCACCGAAUGCUUGCAUUCACCGAAAGAAGCUUAGUGGCGAACGGGUGAGUAACACGUAGGCAACCUGCCCAAAAGAGGGGGAUAACACUUGGAAACAGGUGCUAAUACCGCAUAACCAUGAACACCGCAUGAUGUUCAUGUAAAAGACGGCUUUUACUGUCACUUUUGGAUGGGCCUGCGGCGUAUUAACUUGUUGGUGGGGUAACGGCCUACCAAGGUGAUGAUACGUAGCCGAACUGAGAGGUUGAUCGGCCACAUUGGGACUGAGACACGGCCCAAACUCCUACGGGAGGCAGCAGUAGGGAAUCUUCCACAAUGGACGAAAGUCUGAUGGAGCAACGCCGCGUGAAUAAAGAAGGCCUUCGGGUCGUAAAAUUCUGUUGUCAGAGAAGAACGUGCGUGAGAGUAACUGUUCACGUAUUGACGGUAUCUGACCAGAAAGCCACGGCUAACUACGUGCCAGCAGCCGCGGUAAUACGUAGGUGGCGAGCGUUGUCCGGAUUUAUUGGGCGUAAAGGGAACGCAGGCGGUCUUUUAAGUCUGAUGUGAAAGCCUUCGGCUUAACCGAAGUAGCGCAUUGGAAACUGGAAGACUUGAGUGCGGAAGAGGAGAGUGGAACUCCAUGUGUAGCGGUGAAAUGCGUAGAUAUAUGGAAGAACACCAGUGGCGAAAGCGGCUCUCUGGUCUGUAACUGACGCUGAGGUUCGAAAGCGUGGGUAGCAAACAGGAUUAGAUACCCUGGUAGUCCACGCCGUAAACGAUGAGUGCUAAGUGUUGGAGGGUUUCCGCCCUUCAGUGCUGCAGCUAACGCAUUAAGCACUCCGCCUGGGGAGUACGGUCGCAAGACUGAAACUCAAAGGAAUUGACGGGGGCCCGCACAAGCGGUGGAGCAUGUGGUUUAAUUCGAAGCAACGCGAAGAACCUUACCAGGUCUUGACAUCUUCUGACAAUUCCAGAGAUGGAACGUUCCCUUCGGGGACAGAAUGACAGGUGGUGCAUGGUUGUCGUCAGCUCGUGUCGUGAGAUGUUGGGUUAAGUCCCGCAACGAGCGCAACCCUUAUUGUCAGUUGCCAUCAUUAAGUUGGGCACUCUGGCGAGACUGCCGGUGACAAACCGGAGGAAGGUGGGGAUGACGUCAAAUCAUCAUGCCCCUUAUGACCUGGGCUACACACGUGCUACAAUGGACGGUACAACGAGUCGCUAACUCGCGA